UGGUGGAGUGAUUUGUCUGGUUAAUUCCGGUAACGAACGAGACUCUAUUCUACUAAAUAAGUUGCCACGCGGGUCUUGUACUCGCUGUAACUUCUUAGAGAGACUGGUGGAUUCAAGCCACACGAGACAGAGCAAUAACA
This 140-nucleotide ribosomal RNA is filed under the name uncultured eukaryote. RNAcentral's name for it is "partial 18S ribosomal RNA". It matches the Rfam family "Eukaryotic small subunit ribosomal RNA", at positions 1299 to 1458 of the family's 1831-position model. The record is from RNAcentral.